AAAGUACUGUAUCCAAACGCUGUAUUAUACCAGACAGCUUCUGUCAGGAGCACAGCAACUGAGGCCAGGAAGGACAACACUGAGUGCACUGGCAAUUUGUCACUGAACUAGGAUUACAAGAAAAACUCUUUAGUUUGACAGUGGAACAUUCCUUUGGGUUUUUGCUCCAUGAAAAUGAGAUUCCUCAAAGACACUUAAUAUGAGACUCACAGGUACAGAGGCUGUAAUGGACACAACAGAUGUUGCAUUUAAUACACCUCAGUGUCAGCCAGCAUGAUGUGCAGCAAGUGAUUCAAGAGCAGAUGCUGUGGUAAAGACAAAUGAUGACCAUCAGCUGAGGUUGGCUGUAUCUCUGGGGGGUCUUAUUGUCCUGAACUACCGUCACAGUGGCAAGUUGGCAGCCGCUAGUAAAUGCAUGUGUCACUGAUCAUUCCAGGAGCCCUGAGUAAAGACAAUUGUGAUUGAUCCUUACAGGGACUGUCACUGGGACCUUUCACUGCCACUUCCACAUUUUGAAGUAUCUACUGAGGAACUGACAGGAAGGUAAACAAACACAAUGCCAAGGUGAUAAGAAUCUGACUUUCAUUCACUUUAGUGUGCUAGUUGUUGGAGUUGAGUAGUCUUGUGUUUGAGCGCUGACCUCUGAGUUGUUGAUGCCAUGUCAACAUUUAUAUUCUUGUAUUUGUUUUCUAGAUUAACAUUGUAUCAUUUAAAUGCAAUUCUUAAGUUUUUGAGACAAACUUUAUUACUCUGU
Long non-coding RNA from Lates calcarifer (barramundi perch), 754 nucleotides. RefSeq lists it as uncharacterized. The record is from RefSeq and is a predicted model, not a curated record. Lineage: Eukaryota; Metazoa; Chordata; Actinopteri; Centropomidae. The transcript is spliced from 3 exons.